CGGCGGACGGGUGAGUAACACGUGGAUAACCUACCUAUAAGACUGGGAUAACUUCGGGAAACCGGAGCUAAUACCGGAUAAUAUAUUGAACCGCAUGGUUCAACAGUGAAAGACGGUUUUGCUGUCACUUAUAGAUGGAUCCGCGCCGCAUUAGCUAGUUGGUAAGGUAACGGCUUACCAAGGCAACGAUGCGUAGCCGACCUGAGAAGGUGAUCGGCCACACUGGAACUGAGACACGGUCCAG
This 244-nucleotide ribosomal RNA is filed under the name uncultured Staphylococcus sp. RNAcentral describes it as "partial 16S ribosomal RNA". It matches the Rfam family "Bacterial small subunit ribosomal RNA", at positions 96 to 334 of the family's 1533-position model. Lineage: Bacteria; Bacillati; Bacillota; Bacilli; Caryophanales; Staphylococcaceae. The record is from RNAcentral.